RNAcentral lists this ribosomal RNA (377 nucleotides) under uncultured eukaryote. RNAcentral's name for it is "partial 18S ribosomal RNA". It matches the Rfam family "Eukaryotic small subunit ribosomal RNA", at positions 592 to 976 of the family's 1831-position model. The record is from RNAcentral.
CAAUAGCGUAUAUUUAAGUUGUUGCAGUUAAAAAGCUCGUAGUUGGAUUUCGGGGCAGCCUGGCUGGUCCGCCGCAAGGCGAGUACUGGUCAGCCGCCCUUCCUCUCGAAAGCCCCGACUGCUCUUUAUUGCAGUGGUCGGGUAGUUCGGGACGUUUACUUUGAAAAAAUUAGAGUGUUCAAGGCAGGCCUACGCCUGAAUACAUUAGCAUGGAAUAAUGGAAGAGGACCUCGGUCCUAUUUUGUUGGUUUCCAGGACCGAAGUAAUGAUUAAGAGGGACAGUUGGGGGCAUUCGUAUUUAAUUGUCAGAGGUGAAAUUCUCGGAUUUAUGAAAGACGAACAACUGCGAAAGCAUUUGCCAAGGAUGUUUUCAUUAA